Molecule: long non-coding RNA, 418 nt
Organism: Cucurbita maxima (winter squash)
Lineage: Eukaryota; Viridiplantae; Streptophyta; Magnoliopsida; Cucurbitales; Cucurbitaceae
Exons: 2
Source: RefSeq, a predicted model, not a curated record
UGUGGAUGGAAUUGACAACUCAUUUCCAUGGACACCAAGAUGAGGGGAAAAAAAAUUAAAGAUUCAACCAUAAGGCAUAGUCUCUGUUUUUAAAUAAAUUGCAGAACAAAAGCAGUAAAACUUUAACAAGGCAGAAAAAAAAAAACCUAGAGUGGCCAAGAGCAAGGCAGUCAUCUGAUUGGUCGAUGUAAACUAAUUCUCUAAUAAAUUUUUGGUUAAUUGCCAUUGUUUGGUAUUAAAAAUCAACUAGAUUCAAAUUGUAAGUGAAUGGUAAAUGCACACACACACACACACAAAUGCAGUCUAGUUGAUGAGUUGCACGAAUUAAUCAUACCACACAUGCUCUUCCUACUAAAUGUCAGCGUCCCAGCAGGGGAUCUAGUCUGUGUCUCUCCUUCUAAACCCCAUUCAACAAAGG